CACAAAUGAGAGCAUUAUAACUUGACUGCUAUAAUUUUUUUCUACAUAUCUCCCCAUGGAUUUUGUCACUUUGCUUCCCACUGAGUUUGCUUUGCUUGCCCUUUCUAUGCUCAUAAAAAAGCCAAACCUCCAGUAAAGUCUGGAUUGCCAGCAGGUGAAAUGUUUGGCAUCAGAGCUGCCUUAGACACCUCAAACAUCAGUAAGACUAAAACUCUUGACCCACAUCCCGCAGAGUGUGAAACAGUAGCAUUCAUAACUACUACACUUUGAUUAGGAAAUCUGUUCUUUUAACAGUCAGCAGGGACUGGAGGCAAACUUUAGCUCCCAGGUCAUCUCCUGAAAGAGGCUGUCUUGAUAAUAAUUUCAGGAUGUCCACAGGAUAGUGUUUGCUUAUUUAUUUAUUUAUUAAAUUUAUUUUUAUUUCCCCCCUCAGAUUCCUUUUAUAAACAAUGAAUUUGUUUGCUGUUCAUUUAAAGACGCUUCCUCUGAGCUCAGUAAUAUAAGAAGAUCUGUACUGGACAAACUCAAAGAUUUGUCCAUCCCAGUGUCUUGUCUCCAUCAUUGGCAGUAACAGAAAUCCCAUCUGUGUUUUUGAUAACAUUCUGGAACAAGUUCAGUGGCGAUCUUAAGAUCCAUAUGGAUCUUAUUAUAGUCUUUCUUGCUAUGGGACUCUGUGAAUUGAGGUUUGUGCCCAGUGCACCGUGCCAAUAAGCACACAGAGUUGGAAUCCACACAAAAGUCUUCUUCGAGGCUUCAUCUUCAAGGCUUCAUCUUCAGUGGCUGUCCAUCUCUUUCCUGCAUUAACCAGUCUGUACACCAGUCUGAUGAUGGUACCUUGGGUAAGUUUUUUUUUUUUCUUUUUUUUUCUCUUUGUGGUUAUCUUUGCCAUCCUUAUAGGGUCAUUUCACUUUCAGAAAGCCCUCCACACCUUUCAGUGUCUUUCUGAACAACAUUACUUCAUUUGAAAUCUAUGCUUAGAACUAGUUCAUUGUAUGAAACAGUCAUGAUAGUAAUUCGUCCAGGGGAAAUUGCUUUUCCAAAGGUGGAGAAGUUAAUUAAGUGUAUAACAGGAGGAAGCUAAACCUUACUAAUUAGUGAGAAGGGUAACGAUUAUGGGAGAGAACGGAUGACACUUGGCUGAAGACGAACUCAAGAAAUUGCUUUAGCCAAAAGGAAGUUAGAAGAGUGAAUAGAAGAUGAGCUUUAAGAAAGCAAAGACUGUCGCUGUGUCCUGAUAAAUUAUACCUCAUUUAUAGUGUGUCUGCUAGAUGUUAAUCAAUAAUACGUCGGGAUGAUCCUUCACUCUUAGGCACGUAGCCUGCUCUCUGUUUUAUAGAAUUUCACUUAAAUCCUUUGGGUUCUCUCCCUGGGAGGAUGUACUAAAUGAAAGGGUAGCAACUCUUACACACAACUGUAAGAAUGUUUACAGGGGUUCUGAACUUCUGCAGUGAAGAAAGGGCAGCACCAGAGCUUGGCUCUGCUAGCCCCUUGGAAAGGCAAGGACAGUUGAUCCUGGCAGGCCUACUGACAGUGAAUUGUACAGCCAUAGCACCCAUAUCAUAGCAAAAUCAGAUGCCAAAAUAUUGGCUUCAGAUUGCUCAUCUCUUACACUGCUG
Molecule: long non-coding RNA, 1616 nt
Filed under: Anas platyrhynchos platyrhynchos (common mallard)
Lineage: Eukaryota; Metazoa; Chordata; Aves; Anseriformes; Anatidae
Description: lncRNA (ENSAPLG00000023015.1)
Source: RNAcentral